RNAcentral lists this unclassified non-coding RNA (215 nucleotides) under Hevea brasiliensis (rubber tree). The record is from RNAcentral. Lineage: Eukaryota; Viridiplantae; Streptophyta; Magnoliopsida; Malpighiales; Euphorbiaceae.
AGGGAUGGUUCUUUACUUCUUCUACAGGGAGGGAAGGGUCUGGGAUGGGAGGAGGAAAACCUUACCUAAUUGUGUUUGGAAUUAAAAGGCAACAAGGGGAAGAUAAUGGACAGUUUUUAUUUUGUUUGAAUGGGUGGGAGGGAAAGAAAAUUCUAAAAAGCCUCAAAAAUUGUUAUCAUUUAAUUUAGUUUUAGAUUGUCUAUGAGAAGAUAAAG